Molecule: ribosomal RNA, 561 nt
Filed under: uncultured archaeon
Lineage: Archaea
Description: bacterial SSU rRNA
Rfam family: Archaeal small subunit ribosomal RNA
Source: RNAcentral
UACUGCUAUCAGUGUUCGAUUAAGCCAUGCGAGUUAAAUGUUCUUCGUGAACAUGGCGUACUGCUCAGUAGCACGUGGAUAACCUGCCCUAAGGUCCGGCAUAACCCCGGGAAACUGGGGAUAAUACCGGAUAAACCAUAGAUACUGGAAUGUUCUGUGGUUAAAAGUUCCGGCGCCUUAGGAUGGAUCUGCGGCCUAUCAGGUAGUAGUGGGUGUAAAGUACCUACUAGCCGACGACGGGUACGGGUUGUGAGAGCAAGAGCCCGGAGAUGGAUUCUGAGACAUGAAUCCAGGCCCUACGGGGCGCAGCAGGCGCGAAAUCUUUACAAUGCGGGAAACCGCGAUAAGGGGACACUGAGUGCCAGCAUAUUAUGUUGGCUGUCCACCUGUAUAAAUCACAGGUGUUAGCAAGGGCCGGGCAAGACCGGUGCCAGCCGCCGCGGUAACACCGGCGGCCCGAGUGGUAGCCACUAUUAUUGGGUCUAAAGGGUCCGUAGCCGGUUUGAUCAGUCUUCCGGGAAAUCUGACAGCUCAACUGUUAGGCUUCCGGGGGAUACUGUC